GUAUACAUUAGCAUGGGAUAACAUUAUAGGAUUUCGGUCCUAUUACGUUGGCCUUUGGGAUCAGAGUAAUGAUUAACACGGACAGUCGGGGGCAUUCGUAUUUCAUAAUCAGAGGUGAAAUUCUUGGAUUUAUGAAAGACGAACAACUGCAAAAGCAUUUGCCAAGGAUAUUUUCAUU
Molecule: ribosomal RNA, 178 nt
Filed under: Nicotiana attenuata
Lineage: Eukaryota; Viridiplantae; Streptophyta; Magnoliopsida; Solanales; Solanaceae
Description: rRNA SSU_rRNA_eukarya
Rfam family: Eukaryotic small subunit ribosomal RNA
Source: Rfam by way of RNAcentral